CAUGCAGUCGAACGCGAAAGUUCCUUCGGGGAUAGUAGAGUGGCGCACGGGUAAGUACACGUAGGUAAUCUACCUUCGGGUGGGGAAUUAACCCAGGGAAACUUGGGCUAACACCGCAUGAUGCAGCGGCACCACAUGGUGACAGUUGUUAAAGCGGGGGAUUUUCGGACCUCGCGCCUGAAGAGGAGCCUGCGGCGGAUUAGCUAGUUGGUGAGGUAACGGUCACCAAGGUCACGAUCCGUACCGGCUGAAGGGCGGUCGGCCACACUGACACUGACAUACGGGUCAGACUCCUACGGGAGGCAGCAGUCGGGAAUUUUGGGCAAUGGGCGAAAGCCUGACCCAGCAACGCCGCGUGAAGGAUCGAAAUCCCUCGGGAUGUAAACUUCGCAAGAAUGGGAAGAAUGAACGAGCGCUAAUACCGUCCGUGAUGACGGUACCAUUUGUUAAGCUACCGGCUAAACUACCCGUGCCAGCAGCCGCGGUAAAUAACGGGGGGGAGCAAAGGCCG
RNAcentral lists this ribosomal RNA (511 nucleotides) under uncultured bacterium. Its description in RNAcentral is "bacterial SSU rRNA". It matches the Rfam family "Bacterial small subunit ribosomal RNA", at positions 54 to 537 of the family's 1533-position model. The record is from RNAcentral.